Long non-coding RNA from Balaenoptera acutorostrata (minke whale), 901 nucleotides. RefSeq lists it as uncharacterized. Lineage: Eukaryota; Metazoa; Chordata; Mammalia; Artiodactyla; Balaenopteridae. The record is from RefSeq and is a predicted model, not a curated record. The transcript is spliced from 3 exons.
CCCCUCCCCAGCGACUCCCGCUGCUGGCUGGCAGAGGCCAGGAGCCCAGAUAAGGGGAAGCUUUAGAAUGCACAAGUGUGGCGGCUUCCAGGAGGAUGGGCACCGUCCCUGACAGGCGAGGGGGACGGAGGAAGCCGCACUUUUCCUGAACAGUCACCUGUCACCUCCCUCUGCACAGGUGGAAGAGGAGCCCAGGCUCUCAGGAUCAGACCUACUGGCACAUGUGGCAAGUCCCCAGGCUGUCACCUGAGACACGUGACUUCAGAGCUAGAAAAUGGGCUGCCACGCUGGGCUGGGCUCUGGGUAGCUUCAGGGAGCCAGAGUACCCAAAACGCCCAGCAUGGAGGCCGGCACCUAGGCGGUCCCCCCAGGAGCUGCACUCCUUCCUCCCUGGAGCAGUUCAUCAGGCUGUGGCAUCUGGGGUGCUCUGAAUCAGCAGGUGGCCUCCAGGGUCCCCCCCCCCCAUCUGGAUGGGAGUCUGACCGUGGCUGUCCAUGGAGCACGGACGGGCGCGUGGCUCUGGGCGUGCUCCGUACAGCCCGGCCGGAUGAAAGGCUUGAUCCCUCCCCGAGUGCGGGCCAGAUGGCAGCGCGGCCUCCGAGGCACACGCCUGGCCUUUGUGGGCCGUUUAACACUGUGAAUGGGGCCAAAGUGUGGGAAAGUCGCUGGGCUCCCGGCUCACACGUCCGUCCGUCCGAGAUGAAUGGAUAAGUGAAAUGUGGUCCAUCCAUAAGACAGAAUAUUAUUCAGCCUUAAAAAGAAAGGCGAUUCUGACACCUGCUCCAACGUGGAUGGACCUUGAGGACGCCGUGCAGAGCGAAAUGAGCCAGCCACGAAAGGACACAUCCUACGUGAUCCCGCUUCUGUGACAUCCCUGGGAGUCACACUCACAGAGACAGAA